RNAcentral lists this ribosomal RNA (512 nucleotides) under uncultured bacterium. RNAcentral describes it as "partial 16S ribosomal RNA". It matches the Rfam family "Bacterial small subunit ribosomal RNA", at positions 28 to 507 of the family's 1533-position model. The record is from RNAcentral.
GAUGAACGCUGGCGGCGUGCCUAAUACAUGCAAGUCGAACGAAACUUCUUUAUCACCGAGUGCUUGCACUCACCGAUAAAGAGUUGAGUGGCGAACGGGUGAGUAACACGUGGGCAACCUGCCCAAAAGAGGGGGAUAACACUUGGAAACAGGUGCUAAUACCGCAUAACCAUAGUUACCGCAUGGUAACUAUGUAAAAGGUGGCUAUAUUACCGCUUUUGGAUGGGCCCGCGGCGCAUUAGCUAGUUGGUAGGGUAAAGGCUUACCAAGGCAAUGAUGCGUAGCCGAAUUGAGAGGUUGAUCGGCCACAUUGGGACUGAGACACGGCCCAAACUCCUACGGGAGGCAGCAGUAGGGAAUCUUCCACAAUGGGCGAAAGCCUGAUGGAGCAACGCCGCGUGGGUGAAGAAGGUCUUCGGAUCGUAAAACCCUGUUGUUAGAGAAGAAAGUGCGUGAGAGUAACUGUUCACGUUUCGACGGUAUCUAACCGGAAAGCCACGGCUAACUACGUG